GUGGCGAACGGGUGAGUAAAUGUGGGCAAUCUGCCCUUCACUCUGGGACAAGCCCUGGAAACGGGGUCUAAUACCGGAUAACACUCUGUCCCGCAUGGGACGGGGUUAAAAGCUCCGGCGGUGAAGGAUGAGCCCGCGGCCUAUCAGCUUGUUGGUGGGGUAAUGGCCUACCAAGGCGACGACGGGUAGCCGGCCUGAGAGGGCGACCGGCCACACUGGGACUGAGACACGGCCCAGACUCCUACGGGAGGCAGCAGUGGGGAAUAUUGCACAAUGGGCGAAAGCCUGAUGCAGCGACGCCGCGUGAGGGAUGACGGCCUUCGGGUUGUAAACCUCUUUCAGCAGGGAAGAAGCGAAAGUGACGGUACCUGCAGAAGAAGCGCCGGCUAACUACGUGCCAGCAGCCGCGGUAAUACGUAGGGCGCAAGCGUUGUCCGGAAUUAUUGGGCGUAAAGAGCUCGUAGGCGGCUUGUCACGUCGGAUGUGAAAGCCCGGGGCUUAACCCCGGGUCUGCAUUCGAUACGGGCUAGCUAGAGUGUGGUAGGGGAGAUCGGAAUUCCUGGUGUAGCGGUGAAAUGCGCAGAUAUCAGGAGGAACACCGGUGGCGAAGGCGGAUCUC
RNAcentral lists this ribosomal RNA (619 nucleotides) under Streptomyces sp. I12A-02020. Its description in RNAcentral is "bacterial SSU rRNA". It matches the Rfam family "Bacterial small subunit ribosomal RNA", at positions 95 to 729 of the family's 1533-position model. Lineage: Bacteria; Bacillati; Actinomycetota; Actinomycetes; Kitasatosporales; Streptomycetaceae. The record is from RNAcentral.